Macaca mulatta (Rhesus monkey) is the source of this 813-nucleotide non-coding RNA. The record is from RefSeq and is a predicted model, not a curated record. NCBI's taxonomy places the organism in Eukaryota, Metazoa, Chordata, Mammalia, Primates, Cercopithecidae.
CUCAUGUGCUGCCCAGGCUGGUCUCGAACUCCUGGACUCAAGCCAUCCGCGCGACCUCCCAAAGUACUUGUUACUUCAGCUCACCCAAUUCCAUAGAACCAGAGGGUGCAGACGAUGCAGAUCUCUGAGCAGAUGAGGGCAGAGAGCAGGAGCCCGCACUCGGUCCAGAGGCCAGACUGUGGAGCUGUGCAAGAGGCGGAGGCUACGCCCAUGACAGCAGAUGGGUCCUCGUAGUCACACAGAAAACCGGCAUGCUGGAUUUGUCCUGGUGAUGAGGCUCUGGAGCAGCAGUUGAAUGGAGUCAUUCCCGUCCUCCUUAACCACAUCCCCAAGGGCCACUCACCUUCUUCCCAGGGCACAGACCCCUGGCAAAGCCCACAUGUACCCUUGGAGAAUGCUUGGAGGAAAACAUGGCAUGUGCUGGUUUCAGUGUUGUGGGGCCCUUCCCCCAGCAUCAGCCUCCUCUUCCAGCGAAGACGCUGGUCUGCAGAUUGGUUUCACCUGGAUGGUGGGUGAGGGGCCGACUGUACCUCGUGAGGACCAAGCUCUUCCCAGGUUCUGUUAAUGCACUGCUCGAGGCAACGUUUUGAGACCCAUCAGCUCCUAUUAGGUUUGUGUCCCCCAGAAUUCGUAUGCGGAAGCUGUAACCCCCAAUAUGGCCAUAUUUGGAAAUGGGACUUCUGAAGAAGUAAUUAAGGUUAAAGUCAGUCACAAGGGUGGGGUCCUGAUCCGACAGGACAUGCGUCCGUAAAAUAAGAGACACCAGAGAGCUCCCUCUCCCAGUCAGUCAUGUCGGCACACGUGAGAAGGCAG